RNAcentral lists this ribosomal RNA (467 nucleotides) under uncultured bacterium. RNAcentral's name for it is "partial 16S ribosomal RNA". It matches the Rfam family "Bacterial small subunit ribosomal RNA", at positions 29 to 507 of the family's 1533-position model. The record is from RNAcentral.
ACGAACGCUGGCGGCGUGCUUAACACAUGCACGUCGAACGGAAAGGCCCUGCUUUUGUGGGGUGCUCGAGUGGCGAACGGGUGAGUAACACGUGAGUAACCUGCCCUUGACUUUGGGUUAACUUCAGGAAACUGGGGCUAAUACCGGAUAGGAGCUCCUGCUGCAUGGUGGGGGUUGGAAAGUUUCGGCGGUUGGGGAUGGACUCGCGGCUUAUCAGCUUGUUGGUGGGGUAGUGGCUUACCAAGGCUUUGACGGGUAGCCGGCCUGAGAGGGUGACCGGCCACAUUGGGACUGAGAUACGGCCCAGACUCCUACGGGAGGCAGCGGUGGGGAAUAUUGCACAAUGGGCGGAAGCCUGAUGCAGCAACGCCGCGUGCGGGAUGACGGCCUUCGGGUUGUAAACCGCUUUCGCCUGUGACGAAGCGUGAGUGACGGUAAUGGGUAAAGAAGCACCGGCUAACUACGUG